CCUACGGGUGGCAGCAGUGAGGAAUAUUGGUCAAUGGGCGAGAGCCUGAACCAGCCAAGCCGCGUGAAGGAUGAAGGAUCCAUGGUUUGUAAACUUCUUUUAUCUGGGGACAAAGUGAGGAACGCGUUCCUUAUUGUAUGUACCAUAUGAAUAAGCAUCGGCUAACUCCGUGCCAGCAGCCGCUGUAAUACGGAGGAUGCGAGCGUUAUCCGGAUUUAUUGGGUUUAAAGGGUGCGUAGGUGGGUAAUUAAGUCAGCGGUGAAAGUGUGUGGCUCAACCAUAAAAUUGCCGUUGAAACUGGGUGACUUGAGGAUGUUUGAGGGUAGCGGAAUGCGUGGUGUAGCGGUGAAAUGCAU
This 356-nucleotide ribosomal RNA is filed under the name uncultured bacterium. RNAcentral describes it as "partial 16S ribosomal RNA". It matches the Rfam family "Bacterial small subunit ribosomal RNA", at positions 338 to 691 of the family's 1533-position model. The record is from RNAcentral.